CAAGUUUCACAAGGUCAAUGAUUAUUGAACCAUCUGGUUAGGAAGAACUUGUUCACGCUUUUCUUUGUGAAAACCAAAUUUUUUUAUCUGGUAGGUAAAGAUAAAGAUUUUCAGUUUAAUUAUCUUCAAAAUUCUGUGUGUGGGGAAGUGCCUGGCGGUGGUGGUUGGGCACUUGAGCUUGGAGCUGGCCAGGGCAGUGGAUGGGGAAGAGGAGAUUGCUGCUACUGCUGUCGUUUUGUGUAUGCUACAGCUGCAAAAUUCUGUGUAAGUCAAUCCUAGGCGAGUUCUGUAUUGUUAGCCUUUGUGGUGACUGCUACACGAUCCUGAAAGAAACAAGGAGAAUAUAGCUCUUAACUGAAGCAAAUAGGAUUUCGUCAAGGUUGUGCCUCAAUAUCAUGGAUGCGCCUAUGCAUGUCAAUUUUUCUAACGAGAUGAUUUCUGCUCUUGGGCUAGCGGAUAGGGUUGUGCUUG
This is a long non-coding RNA of Triticum dicoccoides, 471 nucleotides long. RefSeq lists it as uncharacterized. NCBI's taxonomy places the organism in Eukaryota, Viridiplantae, Streptophyta, Magnoliopsida, Poales, Poaceae. The transcript has 3 exons. The record is from RefSeq and is a predicted model, not a curated record.